UGACAGCUCGAGCAGGUGCGAAAGCAGGUCUUAGUGAUCCGGUGGUUCUGAAUGGAAGGGCCAUCGCUCAACGGAUAAAAGGUACUCCGGGGAUAACAGGCUGAUACCGCCCAAGAGUUCAUAUCGACGGCGGUGUUUGGCACCUCGAUGUCGGCUCAUCACAUCCUGGGGCUGAAGUAGGUCCCAAGGGUAUGGCUGUUCGCCAUUUAAAGUGGUACGCGAGCUGGGUUUAGAACGUCGUGAGACAGUUCGGUCCCUAUCUGCCGUGGGCGUUGGAAGAUUGAGAGGGGUUGCUCCUAGUACGAGAGGACCGGAGUGAACGCACCACUGGUGUACGGGUUGUGAUGCCAAUUGCAUUGCCCGGUAGCUAAGUGCGGAAGAGAUAACCGCUGAAAGCAUCUAAGCGGGAAACUUGCCUCGAGAUGAGUCUUCCCUGGACACUAGAUGUCCCUGAAGGGCCGUUGAAGACGACGACGUAGAUAGGCUGGGUGUGUAAGCGUAGCGAUACGUUGAGCUAACCAGUACUAAUGACCCGAGAGGCUUAACCUUACAACACCGAAGGUGUUU
This 567-nucleotide ribosomal RNA is filed under the name Pectobacterium polonicum. Its description in RNAcentral is "partial 23S ribosomal RNA". It matches the Rfam family "Bacterial large subunit ribosomal RNA", at positions 2382 to 2925 of the family's 2925-position model. The record is from RNAcentral. Lineage: Bacteria; Pseudomonadati; Pseudomonadota; Gammaproteobacteria; Enterobacterales; Pectobacteriaceae.